AAACGGGACGGCCCGCCAGAGGACCCCUAAACUCUGUUUCUAUAUGUAACUUCUGAGUAAAACCAUAAAUAAAUCAAAACUUUCAACAACGGAUCUCUUGGUUCUGGCAUCGAUGAAGAACGCAGCAAAAUGCGAUAAGUAAUGUGAAUUGCAGAAUUCAGUGAAUCAUCGAAUCUUUGAACGCACAUUGCGCCCGCCAGUAUUCUGGCGGGCAUGCCUGUUCGAGCGUCAUUUCAACCCUCAAGCCCCCGGGUUUGGUGUUGGGGAUCGGCGAGCCCUUGCGGCAAGCCGGCCCCGAAAUCUAGUGGCGGUCUCGCUGCAGCUUCCAUUGCGUAGUAGUAAAACCCUCGCAACUGGUACGCGGCGCGGCCAAGCCGUUAAACCCCCAACUUCUGAAUGUUGACCUCGGAUCAGGUAGGAAUACCCGCUGAACUUAAGCAUAUCAAUAAGCGGA
Molecule: ribosomal RNA, 454 nt
Filed under: Fusarium sp. FL-2010i
Lineage: Eukaryota; Fungi; Ascomycota; Sordariomycetes; Hypocreales; Nectriaceae
Description: eukaryotic LSU rRNA
Rfam family: 5.8S ribosomal RNA (bases 78-231)
Source: RNAcentral